UAAAGUUAAUAAGGGCGUACGGCGGAUGCCUUGGCGAUAUCAGCCGAAGAAGGACGCGGUAAGCUGCGAUAAGCUACGGAGAGGUGCAAGCAACCUUUGACCCGUAGAUUUCCGAAUGGGGGAACCCGGCAGUGGUUAUGCACUGUCACCCAUACCUUUGAGUAUGAGGAGGGCACCUGGGGAACUGAAACAUCUAAUUACCCAGAGGAAGAGUAAUCAAACGAGAUUUUCUUAGUAGCGGCGAGCGAACGGGAAAGAGGCCAAACCGGAGCGGGCAACCGCACCGGGGUUGAGGACAGUCAUCAAGUGUAAAUGAGGUAGAAGAAUCGAGUUGGAAAGCUCAGCCGCAGAAGGUGAAAGCCCUGUAAUCGAAACCUUGCAUACAUGGGACUGUAUCCAGAGUACCACGAGACACGUGAAACCUUGUGGGAAGCAGGGGGGACCACCCUCCAAGCCAAAAUACUGAUAUCGACCGAUAGCGCAUAGUACCGUGAGGGAAAGGUGAAAAGAACCCCUGGCGGGGAGUGAAAGAGAACCUGAAACCGUAUGUCUACAAACAGUCGAAGUCUGUAUAUAUAUCAGGACGACGGCGUGCCUAUUGAAGAAUGAACCGACGAGUUACUGUUGCUAGCGAGGUUAAGUGGAAAACAUGGAGCCGCAGCGAAAGCGAGUCUGAACAGGGCGUUCAGUUAGUAAUAGUAGACCCGAAACCGUAGUGAUCUAUCCAUGGCCAGGUUGAAGCACAGGUAAAAUUGUGUGGAGGACCGAACUCGUGAGCGUUGAAAAGCUUUGGGAUGAGUUGUGGAUAGGGGUGAAAUGCCAAUCGAACACGGAGAUAGCUGGUUCUCCCCGAAAUAGCUUUAGGGCUAGCCUCGAGGUUGAGAGUAUAGGCGGUAGAGCACUGAUCGGGCUAGGGGCCAUACCGGUUACCGAACCUAGUCAAACUACGAAUGGCUAUACUUAUACUCGGGAGUCAGACAGUGAAUGAUAAGGUCCAUUGUCAAGAGGGAAACAGCCCAGAACACCGACUAAGGUCCCAAAUGUUACACUAAGUGGCGAAGGAUGUGGAAUUUCCAAAACAACCAGGAUGUUGGCUUAGAAGCAGCCACCAUUUAAAGAGUGCGUAAUAGCUCACUGGUCGAGAGACUCUGCGCCGAAAAUGUCCGGGGCUAAAGUGUAAAACCGAAGUCGUGUCAUAUGCAGCAAUGUAUAUGGGUAGGGGAGCGUUCUCAUCGGGCUGAAGCAGUACCGUAAGGAGUUGUGGACUGAUGAGAAGUGAGAAUGUCGGUAUGAGUAGCGAAAAGAAUGGUGAGAAUCCAUUCCACCGAAAGCCUAAGGGUUCCUGAGCAACGAUCGUCGUCUCAGGGUAAGUCGGGACCUAAGCCGAGGCGGAGACGCAUAGGCGAUGGACAACAGGUUGAAAUUCCUGUACCGGAUACAAUCGUUUGAGCGAUGGAGCGACGCAGAAAGGCAUAUGAUCGCGCGACUGGAAGAGCGCGUCCAAGUGCGUAUGUUGAAUCGGAGGCAAAUCCCUGAUUCUAAAAGCAGAGACACGAUGGGGAGUUAUACGAAAGUAUGACGAACUCAUAGAUCCUACACUGCCAAGAAAAACUUCUAGUGAGAAAGUAUCCGCCCGUACCGUAAACCGACACAGGUAGGCGGGGAGAGAAUCCUAAGGUGCGCGGGAAAACCCUCGUUAAGGAACUCGGCAAAUUGCAUCCGUAACUUAGGGAGAAGGAUGACCUUAAGUAAGCGAAAGGGAGAAACCCCUGGAACAGAACAAGGUGGCAGAAAAGAGGCCCAAGCAACUGUUUACCAAAAACACAGGUGCCUGCGAAAGCGAAAGCUGAAGUAUAGGUGCUGACGCCUGCCCGGUGCUGGAAGGUUAAGGAGAGAUGUCAGAGCAAUCGAAGCAUUGAACUGAAGCCCCAGUGAACGGCGGCCGUAACUAUAACGGUCCUAAGGUAGCGAAAUUCCUUGUCGGGUAAG
RNAcentral lists this ribosomal RNA (1989 nucleotides) under human gut metagenome. Its description in RNAcentral is "bacterial LSU rRNA". It matches the Rfam family "Bacterial large subunit ribosomal RNA", at positions 1 to 1980 of the family's 2925-position model. The record is from RNAcentral.